AAAAGAAAGUAAAGAAGUACUUUUUAGAAAUAAGAAAUUGGCUUUCGCAGAUGCUUUCGCAGGUUUUCUAUAUAUAUUUAAUUGGCUUUCGCAGACCUUAGGUUUUAUAAUUAAAGAACGCUUGCGUCCAAAAAACACGGUCAAUAUUAGACUUUAUUUAAGAGUUUGAAAAAGAAAGUUGUGAAGUUGUUUCUUUUCUAUAUAUAUUUAUGCAGUGCAUUUCAGCGGUCCACACUUGUCAGAGACAGGGAAGCCGGGAGCCUUACAAAGAAAAAGAACUGUAGGAAGAAGAGCAGCCGUGGCCACUAUUGGAUUUGUCUUGGAUUAUUUCCGGGGAGGGGCAUCAAUCGUAACGGCGAUCCCACGUUCGUUUGGAACGGAUCCUUUUCAUUUGCUAGAACUCAAGUUCCAUCAUGGGGAAGGAUCAGCCAUCGCAUUAGGAAGACUUCUAAAAGUGGAUCACAAAGGCGUUUGGCAGUGCCUAAUAUGAGUUUGCUCCUGCCCCAGACCCCUCUGCAGUUGUGCAUUCUCGUUCGGCUCUUGGAAUCACAUCCAGCAGUGGUUGGGAGAUAACAUAUGAAAGUCGAAAGUCUCCUAUGGAAAAGCGUAAGCGUGACGGGGCGAACAGUCGUUCAGCCGAUGCUGAGCCACCACCCAAACUUAAGAGGUAUGUGGGAACAGCACCGGCUAUAUCGGAUUUAGGUGAGACUGAGGAAACGUGGCUUUAGCCUGUUUGAAUCUUAGUCAUUCGCCACACAAUUCCUUCAUUUGUACGUUUUUCAAGAUCGAGGAAAAGGAAAAGAAGUCUUCGAAUCACUGACUGAAACUCAUUGUCGAAUCUUACUCCAUAUUCACUCUCCAAGACAACGCAAUUGAGUGUGAGAGGGAGGAAGAAGUGGAUCUCCCGCGGACAAGGGAUACUAGAUCGUACUCAGAUUAAAAACGGCAGGAUGUGGGUCUCGCUCAUGAUAUCGAUGAAGUUCAUCUAUCGCUCAGCAAAAAAAACUCUCGCUGCCGCUCAAACAGAAGCUCCUCUCGCUCUCCAAUUCCUAGGUUCACUUUGCCAGAUCCGCAUCCUUGUGUCCACUCGUCGAGUGUCCCUUGAAUUGAUUGAUAAUUGUCCCCAUACGAUGAUGCUCUGUCUCUAUGGAAGGGGUCUCGGUUCUCUGUGAAGGUCUUUAAUGGCUCUUCGCUUUCCCGACCACUUCUUCGUUAUUCAUUCUUGUUCUUGAUUUCUCAUCUUCGCUCGUCGGGUUGGCCUACUCAUAGGCUGCUUUGAAACGCCCGGGCACUAAUAUUGUUUAUCCGUUCUAGAGAUGCCGCUGUAGGAGAGGCCUUCGAGAAAUGGCGACUUCGACCCUUCGGAGGAGAAGUUUGAAAAGCUUGCUGGAUCCUAAGAUAUGAAUAGAAUAGAAAUCCAAUCGGAAUAAAGCCGGGAACAAAGCAGCGGGGAGAUAGAUUGAAAUAAAGGAAUUUUUGGAUGGAUUGACUUUCAUAGGAAGGGAUUUCAUCCUCCUUGCCUCUUACGCGAGGGACUCCGGAUGAAUAAUGAAAUGGUGCGAAGUAAUUGAUCGAAAUAUACUAGGUGGAUUUUAGAAAGACUUUAUGGCUACUCUCCGAUGACUUACUCAUAGUAGCAUUAGAAUACUUCGGGAGCUAAUGAGACUAUCUUAGUCAAAUUCAAAUAGGCAAGGAAAGGAAGUGAACUGCUUCAAAACCUGAAUCAAAAGGCACUUCUCAAGGAGGCCGUUUUAAUAACGUGUUACAGUUGAGGCAAAAGGCCCUUUCCUAUUUCUUUUCAAUCUUAUCCCGUCGUCACCUUGUAAAAAGCUAAUGCUACACCCAAUUCUUAUUUCUUAGGACCAAACGGGUGAACCCCACCCAUUUUUCCUCUAAGAGCCCAUCAUUUCUCAAUCUUUCUGGGACCGAGUGAAGUUGACCCGGCCAAAGCACUGGUUUAUUCACAACCAUCUAUUCCUGCAUCCUUGCCUGUCCAUCCAUUUUUGAAGGUUGGCUGCCUUUGUGAAGGAGCGGAUUAGAUUUCCAUUCUUUCCUCUGACUCUCCUGAGAAAGAAGUGGUUCUUCCUUCCUAUCCCAUUCCUUUGCUAAUCGAGGGCUUAACUUCCGAUUUAGCUAUUUCACUUCCCUGCUCGCACAAAGCACUCACAAUGCACAAGUCAGCCUCCCCUUUCGAGAAGAACUCCUCCCUCAAAGCUUCGGAAUAGGUUUUGGCCUUUCCAGAAAAGUCUAUUCUUUUGAUUGAGUGUGCAGCAUCAGGGAUAGGGGCAGAAAUCCAUAGUAGCGUAUUCGACUGAAAUAAAGAUAUUGCGUAAGAGAGAGAGAGUCAGUCUCUUGAGAAGUCAGUCUUCUCCCGCACAACAAAUCCACAAAGAAGUUGCAGCGGUAGACUCAUAGUAGCGGUUGGGACAGACGGGUCAAGGGCGGCAGGAGCCAGAAUGCGGUUCCAUUCCGUUCUAUUGCCCACGCUUGUGCAGAAAUUACAGCAACUUUUGGGCCAUGAAGAGAGUUGAACGGAAUCCGUGCCCUGCCUCACGCUUCAGGGAUUUGUGACAACCCCAUCGAUUCCUAUGUGCUUUCGCAAUCUUCCCGAACUGUCAGUGAUUCAAACAAGCGGGUCCGCUAGUAAAGAAAGGUCAUUGGCUCGGUCAACCGAAUCGACGCUCCGCCCUGAAGAAUAGGUGACAAAUGCCACA
RNAcentral lists this long non-coding RNA (2714 nucleotides) under Amborella trichopoda. RNAcentral's name for it is "long non-coding RNA (ATRI_LNC002079)". Lineage: Eukaryota; Viridiplantae; Streptophyta; Magnoliopsida; Amborellales; Amborellaceae. The record is from RNAcentral.